AAAAUAUUUAAUUAGAUGGACAAUUAUCACUACUUUUAGAAAAUAACCAGAAUUUAUCCAACUGUACGUCAAUCUUUAUUUGAGAAAUGACCUUCUCCAUUUAGACCUGGUCGAUUUAAACCGUGAAUUGAAUCAGAUCAAAUCGAGUUAUAAUUUUGUUUGAUGGAUUUAUAUGAAAUCGGGUUAUUAGAGGGUCAGUUUUGGUCUCUUAAACCUAAA
Molecule: unclassified non-coding RNA, 219 nt
Filed under: Hevea brasiliensis (rubber tree)
Lineage: Eukaryota; Viridiplantae; Streptophyta; Magnoliopsida; Malpighiales; Euphorbiaceae
Source: RNAcentral